GUUAAGGUGCCUGAGUAAAGGGUUAAUUUGAUAGAUUAAAUCAAGUUUUGUGGUGAUUUCUU
Molecule: transfer RNA, 62 nt
Filed under: Corythalia opima
Lineage: Eukaryota; Metazoa; Arthropoda; Arachnida; Araneae; Salticidae
Description: tRNA-Ile
Source: RNAcentral